RNAcentral lists this ribosomal RNA (390 nucleotides) under uncultured Acinetobacter sp. RNAcentral's name for it is "bacterial SSU rRNA". It matches the Rfam family "Bacterial small subunit ribosomal RNA", at positions 355 to 735 of the family's 1533-position model. Lineage: Bacteria; Pseudomonadati; Pseudomonadota; Gammaproteobacteria; Moraxellales; Moraxellaceae. The record is from RNAcentral.
UGGGGAAUAUUGGACAAUGGGGAGACCCUGAUCCAGCCAUGCCGCGUGUGUGAAGAAGGCCUUAUGGUUGUAAAGCACUUUAAGCGAGGAGGAGGCUCUUCUAGUUAAUACCUAGGAUGAGUGGACGUUACUCGCAGAAUAAGCACCGGCUAACUCUGUGCCAGCAGCCGCGGUAAUACAGAGGGUGCGAGCGUUAAUCGGAUUUACUGGGCGUAAAGCGUGCGUAGGCGGCUUUUAAGUCGGAUGUGAAAAUCCCGCAGCUAAACUUGGGAAUUGCAUUCGAUACUGGGAAGCUAGAGUAUGGGAGAGGAUGGUAGAAUUCCAGGUGUAGCGGUGAAAAUGCGUAGAGAUCUGGAGGAAUACCAAAUGGCGAAGGCAGCCAUCUGGCCU